RNAcentral lists this ribosomal RNA (499 nucleotides) under uncultured bacterium. RNAcentral describes it as "partial 16S ribosomal RNA". It matches the Rfam family "Bacterial small subunit ribosomal RNA", at positions 30 to 523 of the family's 1533-position model. The record is from RNAcentral.
AUUGAACGCUGGCGGAAUGCUUUACACAUGCAAGUCGAACGGCAGCACGGACUUCGGUCUGGUGGCGAGUGGCGAACGGGUGAGUAAUGUAUCGGAACGUGCCCAGUCGUGGGGGAUAACGUAGUGAAAAUUACGCUAAUACCGCAUACGAUCUAUGGAUGAAAGCGGGGGAUCGCAAGACCUCGCGCGAUUGGAGCGGCCGAUAUCAGAUUAGGUAGUUGGUGGGGUAAAGGCCCACAAAGCCAACGAUCUGUAGCUGGUCUGAGAGGACGACCAGCCACACUGGAACUGAGACACGGUCCAGACUCCUACGGGAGGCAGCAGUGGGGAAUUUUGGACAAUGGCGAAAGCCUGAUCCAGCCAUUCCGCGUGCAGGAUGAAGGCCCUCGGGUUGUAAACUGCUUUUGUACAGAACGAAAAGGUUUCCACUAAUACUAGGAGCUCAUGACGGUACUGUAAGAAUAAGCACCGGCUAACUACGUGCCAGCCGCCGCGGUAA